Molecule: long non-coding RNA, 1029 nt
Filed under: Homo sapiens (human)
Lineage: Eukaryota; Metazoa; Chordata; Mammalia; Primates; Hominidae
Description: HSALNT0181952
Source: RNAcentral
AGUGCAGUGGCACGAUCUUGGCUCACUGCAACCUCUGCUUCUUAGGUGCAAGUGAUUUUCCUGCCUCAGCCUCCUGAGUAGAUGGGAUUACAGGCACGCACCACCACACCCAGCUAUUUUUUUUGUAUUUUUAGUAGAUAUGGGGUUUCACCAUGUUGGCCAGGCUGAUCUCGAACUCCUGACCUCAGCGAUUCUCCCGUUUCAGCCUGGAUUUGUGUAUUUUAUGGUAGUAAAUCAUAAAAGACUAGUAUCUACAUAUAUUUUAUGCAUUCAUGACAUACCUUUUUAAUUUUUUCCAUAUUUCUAGGCUAUGUGGUUCAUCUGCAAGUUUUUUCAAAUUGUUGCAAAUCUCCAAAAAAAUUUUCAAGUGAACUCGUGCAGUUCAAACUUGUGCUGUGCAAGAGUCAACUGUAUUUGCUUAUUUUCUCAAAAAGGAAUGCCUAAAGGAUAAUCAAGAAACUAAUGAAACUGCCAGAUGUGGUGGUGCACACCUGUAGUCCUAGCUACUCAGGAGGCUGAGGUAAGAGGAUAGCUUGAGCCCAGGAGUUUGAGGCCAUCCUGGGCAGUGUAUCAAGACCCCAUCUCUAAAAAGAAAUACGAAUUUUUUUUUAGAGAAGUUAAUGAAAUUGAUCACAUGGCCAUGCUCAGUGGCUGACACCUGUAAUCCCAGCACUUUGGGAGGCCGAGGUGGGAGGAUCAUUUGAGGUCAGGAGUUCGAGACCAGCUUGGUCAACAUGGUGAAACCCCAUCCCUACUAAAAAUACAAAAAAUAGCUGGGCGUGUUGGUUUGUGCCUGUAAUCCCAGCUACUCGGGAGGGUGAGGCAGGAAAAUCGCUUGAGCCCAGGAGGCAGAGAUUGUACUGAGCCAAGAUCAUGCCAUUGCACUGCAGCCUGGGCAACAAGAGCAAAACUCUGUCUCAAAAAAAAAAAAAAAAAAAAAAAAGAAACUGAUCACAUAUCAGUUAGUGUAACCAGUUGGUGUGACCCAGUUUGUGGGUCAGUAAAAAUGUUUAGAGUUGAUAGGAAUAG